GCCUUGGUAGCUCAGCCGGCAGCGCCCGUGCUUUUCAAGCCCGUGGCCGCGGGUUCGAGCCACGCUCGAGGUG
Molecule: transfer RNA, 73 nt
Filed under: Perkinsus marinus ATCC 50983
Lineage: Eukaryota; Perkinsozoa; Perkinsida; Perkinsidae
Rfam family: tRNA
About the family: Transfer RNA (tRNA) molecules are approximately 80 nucleotides in length. Their secondary structure includes four short double-helical elements and three loops (D, anti-codon, and T loops).
Source: Rfam by way of RNAcentral